RNAcentral lists this ribosomal RNA (465 nucleotides) under uncultured Klebsiella sp. RNAcentral describes it as "bacterial SSU rRNA". It matches the Rfam family "Bacterial small subunit ribosomal RNA", at positions 338 to 795 of the family's 1533-position model. Lineage: Bacteria; Pseudomonadati; Pseudomonadota; Gammaproteobacteria; Enterobacterales; Enterobacteriaceae. The record is from RNAcentral.
CCUACGGGUGGCUGCAGUGGGGAAUAUUGCACAAUGGGCGCAAGCCUGAUGCAGCCAUGCCGCGUGUGUGAAGAAGGCCUUCGGGUUGUAAAGCACUUUCAGCGGGGAGGAAGGCGGUGAGGUUAAUAACCUCAUCGAUUGACGUUACCCGCAGAAGAAGCACCGGCUAACUCCGUGCCAGCAGCCGCGGUAAUACGGAGGGUGCAAGCGUUAAUCGGAAUUACUGGGCGUAAAGCGCACGCAGGCGGUCUGUCAAGUCGGAUGUGAAAUCCCCGGGCUCAACCUGGGAACUGCAUUCGAAACUGGCAGGCUAGAGUCUUGUAGAGGGGGGUAGAAUUCCAGGGGUAGCGGUGAAAUGCGUAGAGAUCUGGAGGAAUACCGGUGGCGAAGGCGGCCCCCUGGACAAAGACUGACGCUCAGGUGCGAAAGCGUGGGGAGCAAACAGGAUUAGAUACCCCGGUAGUC